This 74-nucleotide transfer RNA is filed under the name Rhytidiadelphus loreus. RNAcentral describes it as "tRNA-Glu (CTC) (tRNA-Glu-CTC-2-1)". It matches the Rfam family "tRNA". From Rfam's summary of the family: Transfer RNA (tRNA) molecules are approximately 80 nucleotides in length. Their secondary structure includes four short double-helical elements and three loops (D, anti-codon, and T loops). RNAcentral also lists the same sequence under 1 other name. Lineage: Eukaryota; Viridiplantae; Streptophyta; Bryopsida; Hypnales; Hylocomiaceae. The record is from RNAcentral.
GGCGUCAUGGUGUAACUGGUUAACACGCCGCCCUCUCAAGGCGGAGAGUCCGGGUUCGAGCCCCGGUGACGCUA